Molecule: ribosomal RNA, 1209 nt
Filed under: metagenome
Description: bacterial SSU rRNA
Rfam family: Bacterial small subunit ribosomal RNA
Source: RNAcentral
AGAGUUUGAUCCUGGCUCAGAUUGAACGCUGGCGGCAUGCCUUACACAUGCAAGUCGAACGGCAGCGCGGACUUCGGUCUGGCGGCGAGUGGCGAACGGGUGAGUAAUGCAUCGGAACGUACCUUUCAGUGGGGGAUAACGUAGCGAAAGUUACGCUAAUACCGCAUAUUCUGUGAGCAGGAAAGCAGGGGAUCGCAAGACCUUGCGCUGAUGGAGCGGCCGAUGUCAGAUUAGCUAGUUGGUGGAGUAACGGCUCACCAAGGCGACGAUCUGUAGCGGGUCUUAGAGGAUGAUCCGCCACACUGGAACUGAGACACGGUCCAGACUCCUACGGGAGGCAGCAGUGAGGAAUUUUGGACAAUGGGCGCAAGCCUGAUCCAGCCAUGCCGCGUGAGUGAAGAAGGCCUUCGGGUUGUAAAGCUCUUUCGGCCGGGAAAAAAUCGCUUGGGUUAAUACCCUGAGUGGAUGAUGGUACCGGAAUAAGAAGCACCGGCUAACUACGUGCCAGCAGCCGCGGUAAUACGUAGGGUGCGAGCGUUAAUCGGAAUUACUGGGCGUAAAGCGUGCGCAGGCGGUUUUGUAAGACAGGCGUGAAAUCCCCGGGCUCAACCUGGGAACUGCGUUUGUGACUGCAAGGCUAGAGUAUGGCAGAGGGGGGUGGAAUUCCACGUGUAGCAGUGAAAUGCGUAGAGAUGUGGAGGAACACCAAUGGCGAAGGCAGCCCCCUGGGCCAAUACUGACGCUCAUGCACGAAAGCGUGGGGAGCAAACAGGAUUAGAUACCCUGGUAGUCCACGCCCUAAACGAUGUCAACUAGGUGUUGGGUGGGUAAAACCAUUUGGUACCGUAGCUAACGCGUGAAGUUGACCGCCUGGGGAGUACGGCCGCAAGGUUAAAACUCAAAGGAAUUGACGGGGACCCGCACAAGCGGUGGAUGAUGUGGAUUAAUUCGAUGCAACGCGAAAAACCUUACCUACCCUUGACAUGCCAGGAACUUGCCAGAGAUGGCUUGGUGCCCGAAAGGGAGCCUGGACACAGGUGCUGCAUGGCUGUCGUCAGCUCGUGUCGUGAGAUGUUGGGUUAAGUCCCGCAACGAGCGCAACCCUUGUCGUUAAUUGCCAUCAUUUAGUUGGGCACUUUAACGAGACUGCCGGUGACAAACCGGAGGAAGGUGGGGAUGACGUCAAGUCCUCAUGGCCCUUAUGGGUAG